UGGGGAAUUUUGGACAAUGGGCGCAAGCCUGAUCCAGCCAUGCCGCGUGCAGGAUGAAGGCCUUCGGGUUGUAAACUGCUUUUGUACGGAACGAAAAGGUGCCUUCUAAUAAAGGGCGCUCAUGACGGUACCGUAAGAAUAAGCACCGGCUAACUACGUGCCAGCAGCCGCGGUAAUACGUAGGGUGCGAGCGUUAAUCGGAAUUACUGGGCGUCAAGCGUGCGCAGGCGGUUUUGUAAGACAGAGGUGAAAUCCCCGGGCUCAACCUGGGAACUGCCUUUGUGACUGCAAGGCUGGAGUGCGGCAGAGGGGGAUGGAAUUCCGCGUGUAGCAGUGAAAUGCGUAGAUAUGCGGAGGAACACCGAUGGCGAAGGCAAUCCCCUGGGCCUGCACUGACGCUCAUGCACGAAAGCGUGGGGAGCAAACA
This 427-nucleotide ribosomal RNA is filed under the name uncultured bacterium. RNAcentral describes it as "bacterial SSU rRNA". It matches the Rfam family "Bacterial small subunit ribosomal RNA", at positions 355 to 774 of the family's 1533-position model. The record is from RNAcentral.